RNAcentral lists this ribosomal RNA (253 nucleotides) under uncultured bacterium. RNAcentral's name for it is "partial 16S ribosomal RNA". It matches the Rfam family "Bacterial small subunit ribosomal RNA", at positions 524 to 776 of the family's 1533-position model. The record is from RNAcentral.
GACAGAGGCCUCGAGCGUUAGGCGGAAUCACUGGGCUUAAAGCGUGUGUAGGCGGAUCGUUAAGUGCCUUGUGAAAUCCCACGGCUUAACUGUGGAACGGCUGGGCAUACUGGCGGUCUUGAGCCAUCUAGGGGCGACUGGAACAAAUGGUGGAGCGGUGGAAUGCGUAGAUAUCGUUUGGAACGCCAAUGGUGAAAACAGGUCGCUGGGGAUGAGCUGACGCUGAGACACGAAAGCCAGGGGAGCAAACGGG